This 292-nucleotide unclassified non-coding RNA is filed under the name plant metagenome. RNAcentral's name for it is "partial contains small subunit ribosomal RNA, internal transcribed spacer 1, and 5.8S ribosomal RNA". The record is from RNAcentral.
UUUCCGUAGGUGAACCUGCGGAAGGAUCAUUACUGAAUAAACCUGAUGUGGUUGUAGCUGGCCCUUUCGGGAUCAUGUGCACACCUGUCGUCUUUAUCUUUCCACCUGUGCACCUUUUGUAGACCUGGAUGUAACACUUUCCGAGGCAACUCGGUCGGGAGGAAUGCUGUCAGCUUUCCUUGAAUGUCCAGGCCUAUGUUUUCAUAUACCCCAAAGAAUGUAACAGAAUGUAUUAUUGGGCCUUGUGCCUAUAAACUAUAUACAACUUUCAGCAACGGAUCUCUUGGCUCUC